RNAcentral lists this ribosomal RNA (698 nucleotides) under Bacillus cereus. RNAcentral describes it as "partial 23S ribosomal RNA". It matches the Rfam family "Bacterial large subunit ribosomal RNA", at positions 1215 to 1919 of the family's 2925-position model. The record is from RNAcentral. Lineage: Bacteria; Bacillati; Bacillota; Bacilli; Caryophanales; Bacillaceae.
AAUGGUAUCAGUGGUAGGGGAGCGUUCUAAGGACAGUGAAGUCAGACCGUAAGGACUGGUGGAGUGCUUAGAAGUGAGAAUGCCGGUAUGAGUAGCGAAAGACGGGUGAGAAUCCCGUCCACCGAAUGCCUAAGGUUUCCUGAGGAAGGCUCGUCCGCUCAGGGUUAGUCAGGACCUAAGCCGAGGCCGACAGGCGUAGGCGAUGGACAACAGGUUGAUAUUCCUGUACCACCUCUUUAUCGUUUGAGCAAUGGAGGGACGCAGAAGGAUAGAAGAAGCGUGCGAUUGGUUGUGCACGUCCAAGCAGUUAGGCUGAUAAGUAGGCAAAUCCGCUUAUCAUGAAGGCUGAGCUGUGAUGGGGAAGCUCCUUAUGGAGCGAAGUCUUUGAUUCCCCGCUGCCAAGAAAAGCUUCUAGCGAGAUAAAAGGUGCCUGUACCGCAAACCGACACAGGUAGGCGAGGAGAGAAUCCUAAGGUGUGCGAGAGAACUCUGGUUAAGGAACUCGGCAAAAUGACCCCGUAACUUCGGGAGAAGGGGUGCUUUCUUAACGGAAAGCCGCAGUGAAUAGGCCCAAGCGACUGUUUAGCAAAAACACAGCUCUCUGCGAAGCCGUAAGGCGAAGUAUAGGGGGUGACACCUGCCCGGUGCUGGAAGGUUAAGGAGAGGGGUUAGCGUAAGCGAAGCUCUGAACUGAAGCC